Molecule: small RNA, 113 nt
Filed under: Pseudonocardia sp.
Lineage: Bacteria; Bacillati; Actinomycetota; Actinomycetes; Pseudonocardiales; Pseudonocardiaceae
Description: Guanidine-I sequence
Rfam family: Guanidine-I riboswitch aptamer
About the family: This family represents a conserved RNA structure found upstream of the ykkC and yxkD genes in Bacillus subtilis and related genes in other bacteria. The function of this family is unclear although it has been suggested that it may function to switch on efflux pumps and detoxification systems in response to harmful environmental molecules. Nelson showed that this riboswitch senses and responds to guanidine and it was renamed Guanidine-I riboswitch.
Source: RNAcentral
GUGAGGCGCGUCUAGGGUUCCGCCCCUGCUCGGAGCGGCAGGGGGCCUGGUCCGAGAGACGCAGACGGCUCCACGCGGGAGCCGUCCCACGGCGGGACAAAAGCCCGGGAGAC